ACUUUGAAGAGAGAGUUAAAGAGGACGUGAAACCGGUGGGGUGGAAACGGAUAGAGCCGGCGUUCUGACUCGUAAUCAGCGAUUUGCCCUGCAGGGGCUCUCGGUGCUCUGUUCGAGUGACUGUUUGCUUCCGGUGGGGCGCUCCGUGUAGACUUGCGGGUGGAGAGCACUGAGGGGCGUUCGGGAGGUGUCGGGUGGUCGUUCAGAGGAGGCGCUUGCGCAGAUCCUGUCCGGUCUCUCCGCGCAUCUCCCCGACGUCGCCAGCCGGGGAGCGGCGUGUAGCGGGGUGUGUUGGCUGCAAGGCUUGACGGUCCACGCGAUCAUCCUGCCACUGGCGGCUGGCUUCCUUCGUGGAGCGCCGUUCUCGCCUCGGUGUAGCUGCGGUCACCUAUCCGACCCGUCUUGAAACACGGACCAAGGAGUUUAGCGCAUACGCGAGUCAGUGGGCGGUAAACCCAAAGGCGCAACGAAAGUGAACAUGACAUGCGAUCUCGUCUCUCCGGGGCGGGCGCAGCAUUGCCCCGUCCCGAUCGC
Molecule: ribosomal RNA, 534 nt
Filed under: Malenchus sp. P4
Lineage: Eukaryota; Metazoa; Nematoda; Chromadorea; Rhabditida; Tylenchidae
Description: eukaryotic LSU rRNA
Rfam family: Eukaryotic large subunit ribosomal RNA
Source: RNAcentral